GGCACGGACAGGCUCCCCAGGAGAAGCGAUUUACUUGACCAAUGUCACAAUGCUGGGGGUAGGGGUACAGAGAAGAACCUGAAAUGAGGGUUGGAGAAAAAUUAACAAGUCUGUCGGUGGAAAUGUCGUUCCUACUAAGGAUAACCGGGCAAGCAGUUCUUAUAUCAUCAUCCACCGUGUGUUUCGGGGUCUGGCAUCAGAACCUGGGGAGAAGAUCACCACAAGUCACUGGUAACAUUACCAACCCCCAUGUGAAGAGACAGAGGAACCGAGGCCAGAGAAGUUAACUAACCCAUCCAAAGGCACACAGCAAACAGAAAACAGCACUGGCAGAUUUCAAAGCAGAGACCGCUGGCGACAUUAGCUCCCGUGUAACACACACCGUAGCCCAGAGCAGUGGUUCUCAGUCCCCGCUCCACACUGAAACCACCGGGUGGUUCAAAAUCCUUACACCUUGGUCCCAUCCCCGGCACCUCCGAUGUAACCAGCCUAGGGUGGGGC
Molecule: long non-coding RNA, 501 nt
Organism: Leopardus geoffroyi (Geoffroy's cat)
Lineage: Eukaryota; Metazoa; Chordata; Mammalia; Carnivora; Felidae
Exons: 4
Source: RefSeq, a predicted model, not a curated record